GGAGGCAGCAGUGGGGAAUUUUGGACAAUGGGCGAAAGCCUGAUCCAGCCAUUCCGCGUGCAGGAUGAAGGCCUUCGGGUUGUAAACUGCUUUUGUACGGAGCGAAACGGUCCUUUCUAAUACAAGGGGCUAAUGACGGUACCGUAAGAAUAAGCACCGGCUAACUACGUGCCAGUAGCCGCGGUAAUACGUAGGGUGCAAGCGUUAAUCGGAAUUACUGGGCGUAAAGCGUGCGCAGGCGGUUAUAUAAGACGGAUGUGAAAUCCCCGGGCUCAACCUGGGAGCUGCAUUUGUGACUGUAUAGCUAGAGUACGGCAGAGGGGGAUGGAAUUCCGCGUGUAGCAGUGAAAUGCGUAGAUAUGCGGAGGAACACCGAUGGCGAAGGCAAUCCCCUGGGCCUGUACUGACGCUCAUGCACGAAAGCGUGGGGAGCAAACAGGAUUAGAUACCCCUGUAGUCCU
Molecule: ribosomal RNA, 461 nt
Filed under: uncultured bacterium
Lineage: Bacteria
Description: bacterial SSU rRNA
Rfam family: Bacterial small subunit ribosomal RNA
Source: RNAcentral